UAUCCCCGCUACCCCCUAACAGGCCCUAGUGUGUGAUGUUCCCUUCCCUGUGUCCAUGUGUUCUCAUUGAUCAACAACCACUUAUGAGUAAGAACAUGAGGUGUUUGGUUUUCUGUUCUUGUGUCAGUUUGCUGAGAAUGAUGAUUUCCAGCUUUAUUCAUGUCCUUGGGAAGGACAUGAACUCAUCCUUUUUUCAUGGCUGCUUAGUAUUCCAUGGUGUAUAUGUGCCAAAUUUUCUUUAUCCAGUCUAUCAUUGAUGGGCAUUUGGGUUGGUUUCAAGUCUUUGCUAUUGUGAACAGUGCUGCAGUGAACAUACGUGUAUGUGUGUCUUUAUAGUAGAACGAUUUAUAAUCCUUUUGGUAUAUACCCAGUAAUGGGAUUGCUGGGUCAAAUGGUAUUUCUAGUUCUAGAGCCUUGAGGAAUUGCCACACUGUCUUCCACAGUGGUCAAACUAAUUCAUACUCGCAUCAAGAGUGUUAACUUUUUUAUUGGGGAUUGAGAAAUGAAUAUGAUGUUUAUAUUCACACAACACUUCGACACUAGAUGUGUGUGUUCCUCCCCCUCCCCCGCCGACAUCAAGCAAUUCUUCAAUUCUUUGGACCCCAGCUGGGUGUAUGACAACUUAAUCUAAUCACAGGCAAUGAACCACAGCACUCAGCCACAGCUGUGGAUUCUUAAAGACAGAGACUUAAAAAAAUGUGCGUGUGUAUGUGCGCAUGCACAUAUGUGGAGGGAAGGUGGAAGAACUGAUCCAUUUCUACAUCCAGAUUGUGGGAUACUCCGAUGAGGACAGAGAAAAGGAAAAAAUCAGGGAGGGCAAGUUUCUUAUUCAAGUUCACAUCUAACGUCAUUUGUGAUGAAAAGAGCAAAGGAGUGGUGGCAAUGAACCUGAACUGAAGGGAAAGCGUACCUUUGCAGACCGAUGUUGGAGGAGUUGUUCAGGACGACCUUGAGUAAAAACAAGACCCUUGUAAGGCAGCUGAGGCUUCCCAAGCAGCAGUGCUCACUGUGGUUCUGUCUGGGGAGGUAAGUGGGACUUGGAAUCAAAUUGCAAGAAAAUCCUAGUAUUAGGGCCUUGAUGUUGAGCCUGAUUGACUUUGGUAUAUUCCCAAGCCCUGAGUACCUUAUCAGAAGUUCUUUCUGCUGCUCAUGGCCAUGGCUGAGGAGUCCUGGGAAAAGAGCCUUAGUAAUCAAUUGACGCUGAAAGUGCUUUCAGAUGUUUUAGGCUUGCUUUAUGGCUGAAUGUGGAGGUGCCGAGAAUCAGGCUUUGAACUGCACGGCAAUGACAUGGCCAAGUGCAUGCCUUGAGAGGCAAAAAAUUAUAAAAGAAUGUGGAAUUGAAGUUUUGUUAAGUGUAGGUUUUUAAGCUGUGUAUAUGGAACACUUUCCAUAUAACACACGGUAACUUCUCCACUGUCACUCUGUCACAGUAAUGUUUAUUCCUCCCACACUGCUACUGAUUCCCUGCUUCCCAACCUUUCUCCAAAAAGCUCCCUGUGUGCUUUUUCUGUCCUGGUGAGAGAGAUAAACAGGAUGGAAUCACAAACGUUGGAAUUUCCCAGCAGGCCAUGCAGAGGCCCCACCUUGCUGAUGUGGUUUCAGUGUUUCCAGGGACUAUCAGCUCUUUGUUGACGCUCAGGAAUAAAAGGUCAGUUUCCUUUUAGGCCCUUUCAUUCCCAGACUUGCCUGGGGAUGGCCGACUCGUAUGCAGAAGAGAGACUGAAUCAGUUUAAAGCCACAAACCACAAUCCCUGGCUACUGAUGAUUUCCUAGGCCCUUUCUUGUCUUUUGGUUUUUCUUUUCUGUUUCCUCCCUCCCUCUCUUCUCUCCCUCUUUCCCUCCCUCCUUCCCUUCUCUCCCUCCUUCCCUCCCUUCUUCCCUCUCUCCAUCUUUCUCUCUCUCUCUCUGUCUCUCUUCUUUUCUUUCGACAGAGUCUUGGUUUGUUGCUCAGGCUGGAGUGCAAUGAUACCAUCUUAGCUCAUCACAACCUCCCCAUCCCAGGUUCAAGCUAUUCUACUGCCUCAGCCUCCUUAGUAGCUGGGACAAUAGGCAUGCACCACCAUCCCCAGCUAAUAGUAGAGACAGGGUUUCACCAUGCUGUCCAGGCUGGUUUCGAACUCCUGACCUCAUGAUCCACCCGCCUUGGCUUCCCAAAGGACUGGGAUUACAGGCAUGAGCCACCAUGCCUGGCCCUUGGCUGGUGUUUCUUGUGCUGGUUAUCAUUGGCUUCAGGGAGAUUGAGCACAAUCUUAGAGCUUUACUCUUCCCUGGCUAUUCCAGCAGAUUGGCUCCAGCUUCCUGCUCCCUGCUUUCAAUUAUAGAAUAUCUCCCUUAAUUUGCAGUUCCAUUUUUUGUGCUCCUCUUUAUCCAGUCGUCCACAAUGCUGCUACCUGUCAGGUUUGUGCUAGGAUCUGGGAGCAGAGAGAUGACUAAAACAUGGUGAUAGAUCUAAAAAUUUAGGCUUGAGUUUAGGGCAGAAAUAUCUCAUAGGUGGUGUUGUGUGUACUUAUACCUGGAGAGACGAAAUGCUGGGUUCUCUCUCCUUCUGUGAUGAGGUAACUCAACCCGUUAGCUCAUUACAGGUCGCUCAGUGGUAAUACUCCAGUUCUAUCGUUGCUUUCUAUGCCUUAGCCAGAAUACUGCUCUGGAAGAGAAACUUCACUUAUCAGCAUAUGGUUACUCUGAAGUGCAGUUUGUACAGGAAAGUCAGAAUUAAUGCUACCUUCUUUCCCUUUAUUAAUUAUUUUUAAGGAAUUUAAACACUGAAGAUUUCAGAGAUUGUACGCCUUCUUCCCCAACUAGUUUUCUCCUCUGUCCUCUGGCCCCUAUGUAAUCUAGAUUCUUACUCUCUCUUUCUCUUAAAUCCAACUUUGUAGAGCUUCAGAGAAAGAAUUAUGGACUCAUUCACUCUAAAAUACAAAUGACAACAGGUUACAGUGUGAUUACUCCAGACAGACUUUCUGUUUAACUUCCAGCAACAUCUUAAAUUAGAGAAAUAAAGCUUCUUGGAUAAGAAUAACAUGUAUGCACUUACUAUUAUAUGCCAGCUAUAUACAAUGUACAAUUGUAUGUACAAUGCCUACAAUAACCCUGUGAGUAAGGUAUUCUAUGUUAUUCCCAUUUUACAGAUGCGGAAAUAAGGCUCAGAUUGUUUCAGUAACUUGCCAACUAAAAGGUGACUGAGGUGAAACUAAAACCUAUGGUUGUCUGCUUUCAAAGCCAGACAUCCUGUUCUGGAAUCACAUCCUGUUCUGCCUUCUUGGUAGAAUUUCAGACAUCUUGAACAAGGAUAAAGGGCUUUGCGGGAGAGGAUUGCUUCCCAAGGUUGAAAUCUUCCAUUAGACAGACCCAAGUUACUCAUUGUGUCAGAGUGUAUGAAAGAGCCUGGCAAUCACCCACGAAAUCAAAGAUUUGUCACUGGGAGCGUCAUUGUUGAAAAUAGUUCUCUGCCACUGCAGCAGUAGUGAUGCUUUAGCUGCAGCAGCUCCUGUCUGCUUCUCCAACUCCUCCUUCCUCUUGUUCACUUGAUCCAGUCACACUGGCCUUUUUCCUGUUCCUCAAGCAUGCCAAGCUCUUUUCUAUUUCAGAGAUUUGCAUCUACUGUUCUUCUCCUGUAUCUUUUUUUAAAUUUAGUUUUUUUUCCAACUUCAUUGAGGUGUAUUUGACAAAUAAUGUCGUGUAAGUUCGAGAUGUACAAUGUGAUGAUUUGAUAUACAUAUAAAUUGUGAAAUCAUUUGUGUGUGUGUGUGUGGUAAGAACAUUUAAGGUCUACUCUCAGAAAAUUUCAAAUAUGUAAUACAGUAUUGUUAACUAGAGUCACCAUGCAGUACAUUAGGUCUGCAGAACAUAUUUGUCUGAAUAUAAAUUUUUUUUUGAGAUGGAGUGAAUAUAAAUUGAGAUGAAAGUUUGUACCCUUUGACCAGCAUCUCCCCAGCUACCACCCGCAACCCCUGGCAACCAAUAUUCUACCCUCUGUUUCCUAUGGGUCCAACUUUUUUAGAUCCCACUUAUAAGUGAGAUUUUUCCUGGCUCUUUCCAUGACUAACUUCUUGACAAUCAGGUCUUAGCAUAAAUAUCACUCAAUCAGAGACAUUCCCCUGACCUUUCUCUGUAACAUAGCCACUCCCUAUCCCCCAAUCACUCUCUUUCUCAAUCCUCAGUUUCUUUUCCAGCUUUUAUUACCAUCUGAAAGUAUCUUCUGUCUUUCCCUACUAACUGUAGGGAGAACAUGUACCAGUUUUGCUCACUGCGAUGAUUGUGGUGCCUGGGAUGAGGGGCACUCAGGAAGCCUUUGCUGAAUGAAUGAAUUAGUUCAGGCAUCCUUUGCUCAUUAAAGGCUACACAAAGGCUGUCUCACUACCCCAAAUUCGUCACUGCUGGUUCCAGUUAACCACAAGAACUGCCAUGGCUGUUAUAACAGGCUUUUUCUUAUGUGAAAGUCAGGGGUUCCUGCCUUUUGCAUUUAUGAACCAAAACUUGACAAAAGUGAUCAGAUAUAAUUCUGGUUAGUUAUUAGGCUGAGGUCCAAGAUAAUUCAUGUUCUGGUUGAUACUGUUUGCUUGAGCUUGGUUUGAAUGUUAAUCCUCCCCUACCCUAUGUCCCCAAAUUCAUUUGUUGAAACCUAAUCACCAACAUGAUAGUUUUAAGAUGUGUGACCACUGGGAGGCACAGCCCUGCUGAAUUGGAUUAGUGCCCUUAUAAAAGAGGUGAUGGUUGGUGGGACACAGUGGCUUAUGCCUAUAACCUCAGGACUUCGGGAGGUUGAGGUGGGUUGAUCACCUGAGAUCGGGAAUUUGAGACCAGCCUGACCAACAUGGAGAAACCCUGUCUCUACUAAAAAUACAAAAUUAGCUGGACAUGGUUGUGGGUGCCUGUAAUCCCGGCUACUUGGGAGUCUGAGGCAGGAGAAUCACUUGAACCUGGAAGGCAGAGGUUGCAAUGAGCCAAGAUUGGGCCAUUGCACUCCAGCCUGGGCAACAAGAAUGAAACUCCAUCUCAAAAAAAAAAAAAAAAAAAAAAAAAAAAGGUGCCAGUGAGCAUCCUUGCUCCUUCCCCAUGUGAGAACACAGCAAGAAGGGGUCGUCUGUCAACCGAGAAGUGCCCUCACUAGAAGCUGAAUCUGCUGGCACCUUGAUCUUGUACUUACCAGCAUUUAGGCCUGUGAGAACUAAAUUUCUGUUGUUUGUAAGCCUCCCACAUUGUGGCAUUUUGUUGCAGCAGCCCAUACGGGCUAAGUCAGGGCAUCUUUCAAAUUCUCCCUUUUUGUGUGAAUAUUGAAUACCUCUGGAUGAAAGAAUAUUAUGACAGAAUGGAAAGACAUGCAGAUAUUCUUCUGAAGUUGGAUGUCAGUAACUCCUGAAAUCCUACAAAACUAGAUCUGAAGCUUGGGGGUUUGCAUUAGAGUUAACCAGUGAUUUGAGAAACAGUUUAUAGGGCACUACAUAAUAUGGUCCUAAAAUUACCUGUAUUGGAAUCAUCUGGGGAGGGCAUGAGACUUAUUUAAAAUGCAGAUUAAUUAACUGCAGCCGGACCUCCUCCAUCAAGAUCUUGGGAGCUGGAGCCUGCCAUUCUAUGUUUUGACAAGUCCCCAGUUGUAUUUUAUUAUAUGUUCCUCAAAGCUUGAGAACCAGUGUCAUUAAGAAAGGAAAUUGUAUUUCAUUACAACCUACUUAUCCUGAGGAGCCUUAGGAAGGCUACCAGAACAAAGCUGUCAGCAUUCAGGCUCCAGUCAGCUUUGGAAUCUCAGGGGUCCCACCUGAGAAAUGGCAUAAGUCUUGGUGUGGUGUACGUAUGGAGAGUGUUACAAACCUCUGGGUGGCCAGCAUUCACUAUUUUGCCUUAAAGGGCCUGGAGCAUGUUGGCACUUUGCUUGGGAAAUUUUUGUUUCUGGCCUGCCUGCUUUCUAUUUCACAGGGGUGUGAAAAGUGAGAGUUUCUAAGAAGCCUAAUGAAAGACAUCGCCAAGCUCUCUAGUCACAAGAACUUCCUUGGUUCUUUUAGAUGUUGCCCUUACUGUUUUGCCCGAGGAAAGGCAUAAUUUGUUCUCACCUUGCUGUAAACAUUGUUUAAUAUUCAAAGUAUUAGUUAGGCUCAAACAUCUGUCUUCUGUAUCUGUUCUUGUCUUUAUGGGUCUUUCUCUGAAAGCUUUUCCUUUCACCUCUAAUUUCUCUUUUUUCUUCUUUCAUUUGUCUGAAUCCUUCCUACACUUCAAGGACAAAUCCAAGUUUGUCUUAAUCCACUAACUGCCCAUCUACCUGACGCUUUUUUCCUGGCUUGAAUUCCCAAAGCAGUUGUACCAUGCUGUUUACUACUUCACUAAGUUAAAAAAACAGAAUAGAAUAGAAUAGGCCAGGUGCAGUGGCUCAUGCCUGUAAUCCCAGCACUUUGGGAGGCCGAGGUGGGCUUAUCACAAGGUCAAGAGGUUGAGACUAUCCUGGUCAACAUGGUGAAACCCUGUAUUACUAAAAAUACAAAAAUUAGCCAGGUGUGGUAGUGCACACCUGUAAUCCCAGCUACUCAAGAGGCUGAGGUGAAAGAAUCGCCUGAACCCAGGAGGUGGAGGUUGCAGUGAGCUGAGAUUGUGCCACUGCACUCCAGCCUGGCGACAGAGUUAGACUCAGUCUCAAAAAAAAAAAAAAAAAAAAAAAAAAGCGGGGGAGGGGGGACCAGGCGCGGUGGCUCAAGCCUGUAAUCCCUGCACUUUGGGAGGCCGAGGCGGGUGGAUCAUGAGGUCAAGACAUCGAGACCAUCCUGGUCGACAUGGUGAAACCCCGUCUCUACUAAAAAUACAAAAAAUUAGCUGGGCAUGGUGGCGUGUGCCUGUAAUCCCAGCUACUCAGGAGGCUGAGGCAGGAGAAUUGCCUGAACCCAGGAGGCAGAGGUUGUGGUGAGCCGAAAUUGCGCCAUUGCACUCCAGCCUGGGUAACAAGAGCGAAACUCCGUCUCAAAAAAAAAGAAUAGAAUAGAAUAGAAUAAUGGAAAGUGUUGCUUAACCACAUCUUACUAUUCCCCUGCUCUCAGGAAUCAUGAAUGUUUUUUGUGCAGCCAUCAUUCAAGAGAAAACCCCAUGACACUUUGCCAGCACACAGGACACUUCUUGCAGGGGCCAGCAGAGGGCAGUGGAGCACCCGUGGUUCUUACUCCUUUUUCCACCUCUGACUAUGACCAGGAUAACACAAGGAGCCAUUUUUUGGUGUCCUGUUCCAUCUCUUCCCUCCCCUCAGUCUGUAAGCCAAAACCACAGACUGUGACCCUUUCCCACUGGGAAAACCCUCUUGAGUAUUUAUUUAUUUCUAGAGAGUCUUGCCCUGUCACCCAGGCUAGAGUGAAGUGGCACGAUCUCGGUUCAUGCAACCUCUGUCUUUUGGGCUCAAGCGAUUCUCAUGCCUCAGCCUCCCAAGUAGCUGGGAUUACAGGUGGCCACCACUACACCUGGCUAAUUUUUGUAUUUUUAGUAGACAUGGAGUUUCACCGUGUUGGCCAGGCUAGUCUCCAACUCCUGGCCUCAGUGAUCCACCUGCUUUGGUCUCCCUAAGUGCUGGGAUUACAAGGCCUGACCCCUCCUGCCUAUUUUAAAUGUAAGUUUUGCAGGAUUUAGUUUAGCAAUUGCAUCUAUGUAAGUUACUCCUACUCUCUUGGCAUGGAUUGACCUUGCUGGUGGGGAAUUCCAGCCUGUGGCCUGGUGAAAGGGGGAGAUGGGGUGAGAAGGGUGCAGAGGAAAGAACUGCUGGGAACAAUCCCCUGACUUCCUAGGAGGAUAGGGUUGGUCCUAGGCUGAAGAGAGCAAACCUCCCAUAUCCCUCAGGGGCCAAGCUCCCUUCCUGGAAUGAUCGGUGAUGAAAUAGCUGUUGGUUCUGACUUAUCAAAAGGGUCAUGUGCUGCAAGAAGUGUUUAUCUUUCCAUGAUGUUCUCAGUGGGCUGUUUACUCACACAUGUCUUAUUCCAAAUCCCAGGGCAAGAGGAAAAUGCAGGUCCUUUAUCCAAAAAUCAUGAAGAAGUUCAGUUUGGUGACUGAGAGCAUUAAACUUAGCACAGGGUUCCUCUGAGCAUGGAACACAUCCAUGAAUCUGGCCCUGCCUUCAAACUUGCAUAAGGGAGAGGACUCAAGAUGGUGCUGUGAGAACAACCCAGGAUUGGAGCUCUCGUUGAAUCCACGGAGAGACGGUCCGAGACGCUCCGUGGGGGAGGGGCGUCCACCAUUACCGAGGCAACCCGCCCCAACUGAGAUACACACCCACUGCUGACACAGCCUGCCAUUGCCGAGGCAACGUGGUGGAGACCACAGCAGAACAGCAGGGCGUGGCGGAGACCACAGCAGAACAGCAGAGCCUGCAGCAACAUGCCGAACCACACAACAGCAGGGCGGAGCCUCGGCAGGCAAACAGUGGCUAGUCUGCCUCCUAGCUGGUCAGGACAUCUCAACGGACAUCCAAAAUAAAGCCCGAACCCCCCAACACAGAGCAUUUGAGAAAAAAGGGUUUUUUUAAUGAGCUCUGUUGCAGCAGAAUCAAACAUAGCAGCCUAACAGCCCUGAAUGAACAACAGAGCUCACAGCUCAGCAAUUGAGCUCCUAUAAAGUACAGACUGUCUCCUCAAGCAGCUCCCUGACCCCUCUAUAUCCAAAAGACUGACAUUUGGCAGGCAUCAUGCUGGGACAAAGAUAGCAGAAAAAGAAACUGGUAGCAUCCCUCGCUGUGCCACAGCUGCUAGAGGUGCACCCCAGACAAGCAGGGCCUGGAGUGGACCUCAGCAGUCGUACAGCAAAGGAGCUAGACUGGUAGAAGGAAAACCAAGUAACAGAAAUACUUCAUCAUCAACAAUCUGGGUGUCCACUCAGAGACCCAAUCGAAAAGUCAGCAACUAUGCAGACGACAAGCGGACAAAUCCACAAAGAUGGGAAGAAACCAGCAAAAAAAGGAGGAAAACCCCCGAAACUAGAACACCUCGCCUCCUAGAAAGGACCAAAACUCCUCACCAGCAAGGGAACAAAGCUGGACAGAGAAUGACUGUGACGAAAUGAUGGAAUUAGACUUCAGAAGGUGGAUAAUGAGAAACUUUUGUGAGCUAAAAGAACAUGUAUUAAAUCAAUGCAAAGAAACUAAGGAACUUGAAAAAAGAUAUGAGGAAAUGAUAAUAAGAAUGGAUAACUUAGAGAGGAAUAUGAAUGAAUUAAAGGAGCUGAAAAACACAAUACGAGAACUUCGCAAAGCAUGCACAAGUUUCAAUAGCCGAAUUGACCAAGCAGAAGAAAGAAUAUCUGAAGUCGAAGACCAACUCAAUGAAAUAAAACGAGAAACCAAGAAUAGAGAAAAAAGCACAAAAAGGAAUGAACAAAGUCUCCAAGAAAUGUGGGACUAUGUGAAAGACCUAACCUACAUUUGAUAGAUGUACCAGAAGGGGACGAAGAGAAUGAAUCCAAGCUGGAAAAUACUCUUCAGGACAUCAUCCAGGAAAAUUUCCCCCACCUAGCAAGACAGGCCAACACUCAAAUGCAGGAAAUACAGAGAACACCACAAACAUAUUCCGCAAGAAGAGCAACCCCAAGGCACAUAAUCGUCAGAUUCAACAAGGUUGAAAUAAAGGAGAAAAUACUAAGAGCAGCCAGAAAGAAAGGUCGGGUCACCCACAAAGGGAAGCCCAUCAGACUCACAGCAGAUAUCUCGGCAGAAACACUACAAGCCAGAAGAGAGUGGGGGCCAAUAUUCAACAUUCUUAAAGAAAAGAACUUUCAACCCAGAAUUUCAUAUCCAGCCAAACUGAGCUUCAGAAGUGAAGGAAAAGUAAAAUCCUUUGCGAACAAGCAAGUACUCAGAGAUUUUGUCACCACCAGGCCUGCUUUACAAGAGCUCCUAAAAGAGGCACUACACAUAGAAAGGAACAACCAGUACCAGCCAUUCCAAAAGCACACUAAAUGCUAAAGAGCAUCAACAUAAUGAAGAAUCUACAACAACUAACAGGCAAAACAGCCACUUAGCAUCAAAAUGGCAGUAUCAAAUUGACACAUAACAAUAUUAACCCUAAAUGUAAAUGGACUAUAUGCACCAAUCAAAAGACACAGACUGGCCAAUUGGAUAAAAAUCCAAAACCCAUCAGUGUGCUGUAUCCAGGAAACCCGUCUCACAUGCAAGGAUACACAAAGGCUCAAAAUAAAGGGAUGGAGGAAGAUUUACCAAGCAAAUGGAGAGCAAAAAAAGCAGGAGUUGCAAUUCUCAUCUCUGAUAAAAUAGACUUUAAAGCAACAAAGAUCAAAAGAGACAAAGAAGGCCAUUACAUAAUGGUAAAAGGAUCGAUACAACAAGAAGAGCUAACGAUCCUGAACAUAUAUGGACCCAAUGCAGGAGCACCCAGAUACAUAAGGCAAGUUCUUAAUGACUUACAAAGAGACUUAGACUCACACACAAUAAUAGUGGGAGACUUUAACACUCCACUGUCAAUAUUAGACAGAUCAACCAGACAGAAAAUCAACAAGGAUAUCCAGGGCUUGAACUCAGACCUGGAGCAAGCAAACCUGAUAGACAUUUACAGAACUCUCCACCCCAAAUCCACAGAAUACACGUUCUUCUCAGCACGACAUCACACCUACUCUAAAAGUGACCACAUAAUUGGAAGUAAAGCACUGCUCAACAAAUGCAAAACAACUGAAAUCAUAACAAACAGCCUCUCAGACCAUAGUGCAAUCAAGUUAGAACUCAGAAUACAGAAACCAACCCAGAACCGCACAGCUUCAUGGAAACUGAACAACUGGCUCUUGAAUGUUGACUGAGUAAACAAUGAAAUGAAGACAGAAAUAAAGAAGUUCUUCAAAACCAAUGAGAACGAAGAGACAACAUGCCAGAACCUCUGGGACACAUUUAAAGCAGUCUCUAGAGGAAAGUAUAUAGUAAUAAGUGCCCAUAUGAGGAGAAUGGAGAGAUCCAAAAUUGACACCCUAUCGUCAAAAUUGAGAGCUAGAGGAACAAGAUCAAAAAAACUCAAAACCCAGCAGAAGACAAGAAAUAACUAAGAUCAGAGCUGAACUGAAGGAGAUUGAGACACGAAAAACCCUUCAAAAAAUCAAUAAAUCCAAGAGCUGGUUUUUUGAAAAGAUCAACAAAAUAGACAGACCACUAGCCAGAUUGAUUAAAAAUA
This is a non-coding RNA of Callithrix jacchus (white-tufted-ear marmoset), 11126 nucleotides long. The record is from RefSeq and is a predicted model, not a curated record. NCBI's taxonomy places the organism in Eukaryota, Metazoa, Chordata, Mammalia, Primates, Cebidae.